This 591-nucleotide ribosomal RNA is filed under the name Pantoea sp. RNAcentral describes it as "bacterial SSU rRNA". It matches the Rfam family "Bacterial small subunit ribosomal RNA", at positions 847 to 1438 of the family's 1533-position model. Lineage: Bacteria; Pseudomonadati; Pseudomonadota; Gammaproteobacteria; Enterobacterales; Erwiniaceae. The record is from RNAcentral.
CGGAGCUAACGCGUUAAGUCGACCGCCUGGGGAGUACGGCCGCAAGGUUAAAACUCAAAUGAAUUGACGGGGGCCCGCACAAGCGGUGGAGCAUGUGGUUUAAUUCGAUGCAACGCGAAGAACCUUACCUACUCUUGACAUCCAGCGAACUUGGCAGAGAUGCCUUGGUGCCUUCGGGAACGCUGAGACAGGUGCUGCAUGGCUGUCGUCAGCUCGUGUUGUGAAAUGUUGGGUUAAGUCCCGCAACGAGCGCAACCCUUAUCCUUUGUUGCCAGCGAUUCGGUCGGGAACUCAAAGGAGACUGCCGGUGAUAAACCGGAGGAAGGUGGGGAUGACGUCAAGUCAUCAUGGCCCUUACGAGUAGGGCUACACACGUGCUACAAUGGCGCAUACAAAGAGAAGCGACCUCGCGAGAGCAAGCGGACCUCAUAAAGUGCGUCGUAGUCCGGAUCGGAGUCUGCAACUCGACUCCGUGAAGUCGGAAUCGCUAGUAAUCGUGGAUCAGAAUGCCACGGUGAAUACGUUCCCGGGCCUUGUACACACCGCCCGUCACACCAUGGGAGUGGGUUGCAAAAGAAGUAGGUAGCUUAA